This 1422-nucleotide ribosomal RNA is filed under the name Streptococcus sp. RNAcentral's name for it is "bacterial SSU rRNA". It matches the Rfam family "Bacterial small subunit ribosomal RNA". The record is from RNAcentral. Lineage: Bacteria; Bacillati; Bacillota; Bacilli; Lactobacillales; Streptococcaceae.
UGCAGUAGAACGCUGAAGACUUUAGCUUGCUAAAGUUGGAAGAGUUGCGAACGGGUGAGUAACGCGUAGGUAACCUGCCUACUAGCGGGGGAUAACUAUUGGAAACGAUAGCUAAUACCGCAUAACAGCAUUUAACACAUGUUAGAUGCUUGAAAGGAGCAAUUGCUUCACUAGUAGAUGGACCUGCGUUGUAUUAGCUAGUUGGUGAGGUAACGGCUCACCAAGGCGACGAUACAUAGCCGACCUGAGAGGGUGAUCGGCCACACUGGGACUGAGACACGGCCCAGACUCCUACGGGAGGCAGCAGUAGGGAAUCUUCGGCAAUGGGGGCAACCCUGACCGAGCAACGCCGCGUGAGUGAAGAAGGUUUUCGGAUCGUAAAGCUCUGUUGUAAGAGAAGAACGUGUGUGAGAGUGGAAAGUUCACACAGUGACGGUAACUUACCAGAAAGGGACGGCUAACUACGUGCCAGCAGCCGCGGUAAUACGUAGGUCCCGAGCGUUGUCCGGAUUUAUUGGGCGUAAAGCGAGCGCAGGCGGUUUAAUAAGUCUGAAGUUAAAGGCAGUGGCUUAACCAUUGUUCGCUUUGGAAACUGUUAGACUUGAGUGCAGAAGGGGAGAGUGGAAUUCCAUGUGUAGCGGUGAAAUGCGUAGAUAUAUGGAGGAACACCGGUGGCGAAAGCGGCUCUCUGGUCUGUAACUGACGCUGAGGCUCGAAAGCGUGGGGAGCAAACAGGAUUAGAUACCCUGGUAGUCCACGCCGUAAACGAUGAGUGCUAGGUGUUAGGCCCUUUCCGGGGCUUAGUGCCGCAGCUAACGCAUUAAGCACUCCGCCUGGGGAGUACGACCGCAAGGUUGAAACUCAAAGGAAUUGACGGGGGCCCGCACAAGCGGUGGAGCAUGUGGUUUAAUUCGAAGCAACGCGAAGAACCUUACCAGGUCUUGACAUCCCGAUGCUAUUCCUAGAGAUAGGAAGUUUCUUCGGAAACAUCGGUGACAGGUGGUGCAUGGGUUGUCGUCAGCUCGUGUCGUGAAGAUGUUGGGGUUAAGUCCCGCAACGAGCGCAACCCCCUAUUGUUAGUUGCCAUCAUUAAGUUGGGCACUCUAGCGAGACUGCCGGUAAUAAACCGGAGGAAGGUGGGGAUGACGUCAAAUCAUCAUGCCCCUUAUGACCUGGGCUACACACGUGCUACAAUGGUUGGUACAACGAGUCGCGAGUCGGUGACGGCAAGCAAAUCUCUUAAAGCCAAUCUCAGUUCGGAUUGUAGGCUGCAACUCGCCUACAUGAAGUCGGAAUCGCUAGUAAUCGCGGAUCAGCACGCCGCGGUGAAUACGUUCCCGGGCCUUGUACACACCGCCCGUCACACCACGAGAGUUUGUAACACCCGAAGUCGGUGAGGUNACCNUUUGGAGCCAGCCGNCU